AAAACUACAUCUCAGUUCGGAUUGCAGGCUGAAACUCGCCUGUAUGAAGAUGGAGUUGCUAGUAAUCGCGAAUCAGAAUGUCGCGGUGAAUACGUUCCCGGGUCUUGUACACACCGCCCGUCACACCAUGGAAGUCUGCAAUGCCCGAAGCCGGUGGCCUAACCACUUAUGUGGAAGGAGCCGUCUAAGGCAGGGCAGAUGACUGGGGUGAAGUCGUAACAAGGUAGC
RNAcentral lists this ribosomal RNA (228 nucleotides) under uncultured bacterium. Its description in RNAcentral is "partial 16S ribosomal RNA". It matches the Rfam family "Bacterial small subunit ribosomal RNA", at positions 1277 to 1500 of the family's 1533-position model. The record is from RNAcentral.